Molecule: ribosomal RNA, 833 nt
Filed under: Demequina sp.
Lineage: Bacteria; Bacillati; Actinomycetota; Actinomycetes; Micrococcales; Demequinaceae
Description: bacterial SSU rRNA
Rfam family: Bacterial small subunit ribosomal RNA
Source: RNAcentral
GUCGAACGGUGACCCAGGAGCUUGCUCCGGGCGAUCAGUGGCGAACGGGUGAGUAACACGUGAGUAACCUGCCCCAGACUCUGGGAUAACAUCGGGAAACCGGUGCUAAUACCGGAUAUGAGACGAGACCGCAUGGUCAUCGUCUGGAAAGAUUUAUCGGUCUGGGAUGGACUCGCGGCCUAUCAGCUAGUUGGUGAGGUAAUGGCCCACCAAGGCGACGACGGGUAGCCGGCCUGAGAGGGCGACCGGCCACACUGGAACUGAGACACGGUCCAGACUCCUACGGGAGGCAGCAGUGGGGAAUAUUGCACAAUGGGCGCAAGCCUGAUGCAGCAACGCCGCGUGGGGGAUGAAGGCCUUCGGGUUGUAAACCCCUUUUAGCAGGGAAGAAGCGAAAGUGACGGUACCUGCAGAAAAAGCGCCGGCUAACUACGUGCCAGCAGCCGCGGGUAAUACGUAGGGCGCAAGCGUUGUCCGGAAUUAUUGGGCGUAAAGAGCUCGUAGGCGGUUUGUCGCGUCUGCUGUGAAAGUCCGAGGCUCAACCUCGGAUCUGCAGUGGGGUACGGGCAGACUAGAGUGUGGUAGGGGAGACUGGAAUUCCUGGGUGUAGCGGUGGAAUGCGCAGAUAUCAGGAGGAACACCAAUGGCGAAGGCAGGUCUCUGGGCCACAACUGACGCUGAGGAGCGAAAGCGUGGGUAGCACACAGGAUUAGAUACCCUGGUAGUCCACGCCGUAAACGGUGGGCACUAGAUGUGGGGCUCUUUCCAUGAGUUCCGCGUCGCAGCUAACGCAUUAAGUGCCCCGCCUGGGGGAGUACGGCCGCAAGGCUAAA